Long non-coding RNA from Esox lucius (northern pike), 3779 nucleotides. NCBI's taxonomy places the organism in Eukaryota, Metazoa, Chordata, Actinopteri, Esociformes, Esocidae. The record is from Ensembl.
ACCGAGCACAAAACACACAAAAGCAAAGGGCUGACUAAAGCAGCAAAAACGACUAUAAGAAAUGGUACAAGUACUUACAAUAAACGGCAACACACACAACAUCCAAACAUUACAAGCACAAUGAGCCACAAUGUGGGGAGCAGAGGGGAAACAUAUAUACACAUACAAACGAUUCAAAUUGGGACCUGGUGUGGAGGAUUGAAAACAUGUGACAGUCUGGGAUGUGUUCGUGAGAAAUGGAAACUGAGAAACUAUGGCACGGUGGCGCUGCUGCUCACCGCACCAUGACACAAGUAUACAAAAUUUUUUAAUAACUGGGUCCAUUGUCACUCAAUGAACUGUUUCUGUACUACGUUUUGUCCUAAAGUACAACACUGUAAGUAUACUGCUUUUUAACUUUAGGUUGCUUGCUUAGUGUAAACUGUUGACCUGGCUGGCUGAUAAAGAAAACUAUGGUCCAGAAGCAUGUAAAUAAGGAUCCAAAUAUUUAAAAACGUCCGUUCCGUUCUCUAAUUGUUAGGGUUACAGUAUCUCACAAAAGUAAAUAUACUGACAUUUCUCUAACCAAUGUAUUCUCACUGAUUGAAGGACUGAGUACCCUUGUUCAAAUUAGAAAAGGAAUAUGGGUGAUCUGGUAUUUGCCUAGGGGGCAUCAUUGACUGGUAUCAGCAGAUGAAAUGGUUACUCUUUAUCUGCGCAUCUGUAUAACUCAUCAGGGCAUCUAUUGUCUGUCCAGAUGCUGUAAGAGCUCUUUAGAGUUCUAUAGGUUACCCAUGUGGGGGGAGGACAGUUUUCCCCUUUUGUGAAGACUAGGUAGUAACAUAAAAAAGGGAAUGUGUUUAAUUGACAUAGGACAGAUGGGCAACAACUUACCACACCCCACACUGUUGAUGUAUUAAGUUAGAGACUCCUCGGACGAUUAUGUUUGUUAUCGUUUGAAGUGUCUCUCUAAUUUGCAAAUAAUAAUAAAACUGUUACAUUGUGCCAAGAGAAUUUCGUCUCUGUACUUCCUCAUUAAAGAGUUCUCAUCGAUAGAAUUGCCAUCACAAUACCCACAUUUACCCACAAUACAUCACAUUUUUGCUAAUAUUUGAUUAUGUCUUUUUAUGUGACAACACUGAAGAAAUGACACUAUGCUACAAUGUGAAGUAGUGAGUGUACAGCUUGUAUAACAGUGUACAUUUGCUGUCCCUUCAAAAUAACUCAACACAAAGCCAUUAAUGUCUAAACUGGGCCCAAAGUGUCAAUAUUUUGUGUGGCCACCAUUAUUUUCCAGCACUGCCUUAACCCUCUUGGGCAUGGAGUUCAAUUUAAUUGUAAGCAUGGACCAGAAAGUAAUAUUAAACUCAAAUGUUCCUCUAUACUCCAAUACAGAAAGAAAAAUGAAGAACAGAUUGGAAUCCCUCAACUGCUAUUAUCACUAAGCAUGUGUCUCUCACUGGGGUAGGAUAAAUAAAAGUUAGCUACUUACAAACACACACAAGGCCGUUGAACGAAAUACAGGCACAGACAGACAAACAGUCAGACCGACAAAAAAGCUCCCAUACUUGACGCUCCAAUUCCUCUCUGCCCUCCCUCUUUUCCUGAAGACAGCCGGCUUCUCCUCUGUCGCUGGCCACUUCUUCCCUCCUCCAAUUAGACUGUAGUGUCUCUGUGCCAUGGUCAUCCAUUGGUCUGUGUCCCCUAGUACCAAGUACAGUCAGCCACAGGGUGUGUGGGCAGGGAAAACAUUGGUCUUUGUGUAUGUAUACGUGUGUAUAUUCGUGUGUGUGGCCCUGAUCAGCACUCUGACAGAGACCAAGCUUGGUAUGAUUAGUUCCUACAGAAUAUAAAAGGCCAUAAUUCCAGUUAGUAAGAGACUGUGCAUAUGCAGCUCCUUGAUAAGAGCAAGUUCAGCACUCAGACAUGGUAUCAAAUUCUAAUACAAAGGACAAUUUACAUAGCCUUUCUUUUCAUGCUUUUUUCUGCUUGUAGCUUAUCUUCCUAAUAGUUUUUCAUUUUAGUUUUGUUACAAAGAGACUUGGUUUUCACAUUUUUCUAAUUCUUCAAUUGACUAAAAUAAAUUUUGAAAAUGUAUGUAAGCAUCUACGCAACACUCAAAACCAACCAUCUUAUACAUCAGAAUCUCCUUCUGAUUGGUGCCUCCACACACCGAAGACAUCACUGGAUAAGCCAUUCUCUGUUACAAGAGAAAAUGUAAAAUGUUAGAAAGAUUUCAAACAGUAUAUGAAUCUAGGUCUACUCCUCUCCAUAGGCCUAGGCCUGGUUCAGCAUAUGUUCUAUAGCACUGAUGACAGAUGGUAGGCCAAUGUGCCAAAACUGAGCAAGGGUACAGGGUGCUUUUUUUCCAUCCCUGCGCACUCUGUUAUUCAUAUAACAAUAAACUCGGAAUAAACAACUAUCAGGUGAGCAUUUGACCUUAUGUCACGGACCAAUAUUGGCUAACUUUUAAGUGUAGAAUUUAUUUUAUGAUGGCCUCAUGUCACUCCCACCUAGGGAUGAGUACCAUUUGAAAUGUUUUGGUUUUGGUACCAGUUCCUUGUUUUGGUUACCAAAUUCUAAUGAUUACAUUUUUCACCAUCAAAUUAAAAGUUAAAUAGCUUAUACGAAAGCACUCAAUUUCUGUUUAAUAUUUAACAUCAUCCAUUCCUCUUGUAACAGAAAUGGAACCAUAUUUUUAAAAGCAUUUCAAUAGUAAUAGGUCUCAACAUGACCUGGACAAAAUUCUGUACCCGUCCCUACUCUCAUCUAUUUUUCCCCUCGGUAUCUGUCAAAAAAAAACAAUGCCCAAAAAUAUUGCUGUAAGCAGCCAUUAAGGGGACCAAAAUACAAUUUUGAAGCCCCUUGGAAUGUAUAUGUUACUGUAACUAAGCAACGGUCUUUACAUUUCCAACUUCAAUUAAAGCUACAAGCAGCAUUUAGUGGGUUUCAGCAUUUAGUUUGCAUGAAAAUUAUGCAAUAUGGUAUGUAGGGUAAAAGACAAGCUGUACACAUGUACAAACCCAAUGUUGUAAGGAUGUUUUUUCCUGUCCAAUGGUUACCCCAUGCAGUUUUUUACAUACUGGUCUGGUUCAUACAACACUUGAAGAUCUUCAUAAAUAGAUGCCAAAUGUAAAACUACAUCAAGAUUGGUCAUUUGCUGCCAAAUGAGUAGUGUUUUAGGUGUUUUUCAAAACAACUAAGAUGGCUGAAAAUACAUGAUGGCGAUUUUCUGGGUCUUAACGGCAAACAUUUUCAUAGUGAGGAGAUACACCUAUGGACUGAUUUCCAAGACCAGGUCAAAAGGGAUGAGUGUGGUGACCUUUCAAAAAGUCCAACUUCAUCUGAUUGGCAUGUCCACUGCACCAGAAGUUGUGUUUCUUGACGCUUUACUAUAUUAACCCUUUGACGCGUACGAUCACACCAUUUCCUGAUUGUAAUUGUUUCAAGACCACACCAUGUUAUUAACCAGGUAGCAAGCAUAAAAAAAGUGUUACUUACGUACCAACAGGUAGCCAACACUAGAAGUUAGAUUUUCUACAAUAAACAUAAUACGCAAAAACGAAUUAUAUUAGCGACUACUAUAGAGCAUCUAACCAUUUCCUGAAAGAGCUGACAACCUGUCAAAAUCAUUGUGUAAAAACUUUCAAGUUACGUUACCUGUUGAGGGUGCUGCUAUGCUUUUUAUCAAUCAAAGAUAAAGAAAGAUGUGGUUUUGCUAUUGAGAACUCACGCUUCAACAAAGGUAUUGCCAUCCGGAAAAGGUCCCCUAGACCAGCCCCAUACAGUGCAGCGCUACC